CAGCCGCCACGGUAAUACGUAGGUGGCAAGCGUUGUCCGGAAUUAUUGGGCGUAAAGGGCUCGCAGGCGGUUUCUUAAGUCUGAUGUGAAAGCCCCCGGCUCAACCGGGGAGGGUCAUUGGAAACUGGGAAACUUGAGUGCAGAAGAGGAGAGUGGAAUUCCACGUGUAGCGGUGAAAUGCGUAGAGAUGUGGAGGAACACCAGUGGCGAAGGCGACUCUCUGUCUGUAACUGACGCUGAGGAGCGAAAGCGUGGGGAGCGAACAGGAUUAGAUACCCGCGUAGUCCCUGUCUCUUAUACA
This 301-nucleotide ribosomal RNA is filed under the name uncultured bacterium. RNAcentral's name for it is "partial 16S ribosomal RNA". It matches the Rfam family "Bacterial small subunit ribosomal RNA", at positions 509 to 808 of the family's 1533-position model. The record is from RNAcentral.